This 418-nucleotide ribosomal RNA is filed under the name uncultured marine bacterium. RNAcentral describes it as "bacterial SSU rRNA". It matches the Rfam family "Bacterial small subunit ribosomal RNA", at positions 958 to 1395 of the family's 1533-position model. The record is from RNAcentral.
AACGCGAAGAACCUUACCAGACCUUGACAUGGUAUGUUUGAAUUACAGAAUCGUAAUUCUUCAGUUCGGCUGGCAUACACACAGGUGCUGCAUGGCUGUCGUCAGCUCGUGUCGUGAGAUGUUGGGUUAAGUCCCGCAACGAGCGCAACCCUCACUUUUAGUUGCCAUCAUUAAGUUGGGCACUCUGAAAGAACUGCCAGUGAUAAGCUGGAGGAAGGUGGGGAUGACGUCAAGUCCUCAUGGCCCUUACGGGUUGGGCUACACACGUGCUACAAUGGCAGUGACAAUGGGUUAAUCCCAAAAAGCUGUCUCAGUUCGGAUUGGGGUCUGCAACUCGACCCCAUGAAGUCGGAAUCGCUAGUAAUCGCGUAACAGCAUGCCGCGGUGAAUACGUUCCCGGGUCUUGUACACACCGAAU